RNAcentral lists this ribosomal RNA (497 nucleotides) under uncultured bacterium. RNAcentral describes it as "partial 16S ribosomal RNA". It matches the Rfam family "Bacterial small subunit ribosomal RNA", at positions 28 to 507 of the family's 1533-position model. The record is from RNAcentral.
GACGAACGCUGGCGGCGUGCCUAAUACGUGCAAGUUGAGCGCUGAAGGUUGGUACUUGUACCAACUGGAUGAGCAGCGAACGGGUGAGUAACGCGUGGGGAAUCUGCCUUUGAGCGGGGGACAACAUUUGGAAACGAAUGCUAAUACCGCAUAAAAACUUUAAACACAAGUUUUAAGUUUGAAAGAUGCAAUUGCAUCACUCAAAGAUGAUCCCGCGUUGUAUUAGCUAGUUGGUGAGGUAAAGGCUCACCAAGGCGAUGAUACAUAGCCGACCUGAGAGGGUGAUCGGCCACAUUGGGACUGAGACACGGCCCAAACUCCUACGGGAGGCAGCAGUAGGGAAUCUUCGGCAAUGGACGAAAGUCUGAACGAGCAACGCCGCGUGAGUGAAGAAGGGUUUCGGAUCGUAAAACUCUGUUGGUAGAGAAGAACGUUGGUGAGAGUGGAAAGCUCAUCAAGUGACGGUAACUACCCAGAAAGGGACGGCUAACUACGUG